Long non-coding RNA from Neopsephotus bourkii (Bourke's parrot), 1512 nucleotides. RefSeq lists it as uncharacterized. The record is from RefSeq and is a predicted model, not a curated record. NCBI's taxonomy places the organism in Eukaryota, Metazoa, Chordata, Aves, Psittaciformes, Psittacidae. The transcript is spliced from 3 exons.
GGAUCCUACACCAGAGCAGGUUGAUAUGUUUGAAGGAGGCUGUGACCCUGUAGGAAUCCUAUGCUGGAGCAGGCUCCUGGCAGGACCUGUGGCCCUGUGGCAAGGGUAGCUCAUGCUGAAAAAGGUUUGCUAGGAGGGCUUGUGACCUUGUGGGGGACCCAUGGAGCAGUUUAUAAAAAAAUAUAGCCUAUGGGAAGGACCCCAUGCUGGAGCAGGGGAAGAGUGAAAGAAAGUUUGAGAGGGGGAGUGAUAGAGCAGCUUUGGUGGGCAGCUGGCAUCCAACCAAGAUCAACCCACCAAAAAGGAAAUAGUUGCAGCAAAUGAGAAGGCAGAAUGCAUUUGAAUUUGUGGAUAUGGGUUUAGAAGUUUGUUGAAGAAAAUCCAGUUGAAUAAAAUGGGUUUUGAGGCAAAGCCCCAAGCUUUGGAAUGUGCAUAUACAAGAGAGCUGUAAACAGAGGGAUAAAUUGAUUUUCUGACCACCCAGAAGGUGAAAAGAAAUUGAGAAUAAGGAAUAAACCAGUUAAGCUCCUGGGAAGUAAAUGCUUACAUUAAAAUGGGCAUACACAUCCUGCCCUAAAUUAUAUAUCAAUACUGCAACACUGUUUUCCAAUUCAUAACCUUUACAGACCAUGCCUGUUAUAAAUUGUUUUGUCAGCAAUUUGAAUUAUUAUAUACACUUGUAUCUAAGAAGUCAAAAAGCAUCCUGGCCUGCAUAGGAGGAGCAUCACCAGCAGGUCAAGGAAGGUGAUCCUUCCACUCCACUCGGAACUAGUGAGCCUACACCUGGAGUGCCCUGUCUAAUACUGGCCUCCCCAUGGACAUGCUGGAGCAGAUCCAGUGAGGGGCCACAAAGACGAUUAAAGUACUGGAGCAUCUCCCAUAUAAGAGACUGGGACAUCUGGCAUUGUUUAGUCUGAAAAAAAAAAAAAAAAGGCUCAGGAGGAUCUUACCGACAUGUAUAAAUAUCUGAUGGGAGAAUGUAAAGAUAAAGCCAGACUCCUCUCAGCAGUAUCCUGUGACAGGACAAGAGGCAAUGGGCACAAACUGAAAUACAGGAAAUUCCAUCUGAGAGUAGGAAAACACUCCAGAAGAGCCUGCCAACCUCAACAACUCUGUGAUUUCCUGUAGCUUCUCAAAAAGAGAACAGAGCAAUGUAUGUGGAGAGGGUUGCUCUAUAAAGUCUUAUUUGCUUUUAUUUCAAGCAUCAAGUAUGGAGUUGUCUUCAAGAAUGAGUAACUGGUAGUUUUUUGAGUGCUUUCAUAUAACUUAUAACAAAAUUUUACUUUAAAAAUUUUCUCUCCCUUAUGUUUUCUUAGGGAAUUGUCAUGUUUUAACCCCAGCUGGCAACUAAAUACCACAACUUGCUCAUUCUCCUCCAUUCUGGUGUGAUGGGGAGGAGAAUUAGGGAAAGGUAAAAUCUGUGAGUUGAUAUAAAACCAGUUUAAUAAUUGAAACAAAGUAAAGUAUAAUAUAUAAUAAAUAAUAAUGGGAAAUAAAAAGAGGAAUAAACCC